UAUUCUCAGUAACGGCGAGUGAAGCGGCAAAAGCUCAAAUUUGAAAUCUGGCCCUUCCAGGGUCCGAGUUGUAAUUUGUAGAGAGUGUUUCGGGUAGUCGGCGGUCUAAGUCUAUUGGAACAUAGCGUCAUAGAGGGUGAGAAUCCCGUAUGUGACCGCCGUCCGACCCCGUGUGAAACCUCUUCGACGAGUCGAGUUGUUUGGGAAUGCAGCUCAAAAUGGGUGGUAAAUUUCAUCUAAAGCUAAAUACCGGCUGGAGACCGAUAGCGCACAAGUAGAGUGAUCGAAAGAUGAAAAGCACUUUGGAAAGAGAGUUAAACAGUACGUGAAAUUGUUGAAAGGGAAGCGCUUGCAACCAGACCUGCCCGUGGGUGAUCAGCCGCUGUUCUCAGCGGUGUACUCGCCCGACGGUCAGGCCAGCAUCGGUUUCGGCGGUCGGAUAAAGGCUUUGGGAACGUAACUCCCUCCCGGGGGAGUGUUAUAGCCCUCGGUGCAAUGCGGCCAGUCGAGACCGAGGACCGCGCUUCGGCUAGGAUGCUGGCGUAAUGGUUGUAAGCGACCCGUCUUGAAACACGGACCAAGGAGUCUAACAUCUAUGCGAGUGUUUGGGCAUUAAACCCACACGCGGAAUGAAAGUGAACGGAGGUGAGACCCCCGGAGGGCGCAUCAUCGACCGAUCCAGAUGUCUUCGGAUGGAUUUGAGUAUGAGCAUAGCUGUUGGGACCCGAAAGAUGGUGAACUAUGCCUGAAUAGGGUGAAGCCAGAGGAAACUCUGGUGGAGGCUCGCAGCGGUUCUGACGUGCAAAUCGAUCGUCAAAUUUGGGUAUAGGGGCGAAAGACUAAUCGAACC
This 850-nucleotide ribosomal RNA is filed under the name Bulbothrix johannis. Its description in RNAcentral is "eukaryotic LSU rRNA". It matches the Rfam family "Eukaryotic large subunit ribosomal RNA", at positions 73 to 941 of the family's 3401-position model. The record is from RNAcentral. Lineage: Eukaryota; Fungi; Ascomycota; Lecanoromycetes; Lecanorales; Parmeliaceae.